UCUGAAACUUGGUGUGGAUACAGAGAAGCUACAGUUUCAGA
This is a regulatory RNA element of Scleropages formosus (Asian bonytongue), 41 nucleotides long. It matches the Rfam family "MAT2A 3'UTR stem loop D". The record is from Rfam. Lineage: Eukaryota; Metazoa; Chordata; Actinopteri; Osteoglossiformes; Osteoglossidae.